RNAcentral lists this non-coding RNA (145 nucleotides) under Canis lupus familiaris (dog). Lineage: Eukaryota; Metazoa; Chordata; Mammalia; Carnivora; Canidae. The record is from RNAcentral. RNAcentral also lists the same sequence under 1 other name.
GGUUUGUGCGGGAUCACCACCUUUACCUAUGGUGUGUGCAGUGCUCCACUUCAGGAAGUGCCAUCCAUGUAGCUAAAACCUAUGAUUGGCACCUCUUUGAGUGUAGCAAUGUGCAACAGGUACAACAUCAGUGCUGGCCCUGAAA